CCCCUCUCACAGUCGCACCUGUAGAAUUUCCUGUACUCUACCUGCCUCGACUAUGGGAGGAAGAGUCAAGCAGAGGCAUAUCCAUUCCAUUCCUAGCUUGGGCAGUGGCUAGCGAGUGGAAGACAAUCUGCUACAAGU
Small nucleolar RNA from Tachyglossus aculeatus (Australian echidna), 138 nucleotides. NCBI's taxonomy places the organism in Eukaryota, Metazoa, Chordata, Mammalia, Monotremata, Tachyglossidae. The record is from RefSeq and is a predicted model, not a curated record.